AAUAUUGGACGACGGGGGCAACCCUGAUCCAGCCAUGCCGCGUGUGUGAAGAAGGUCCUCGGAUUGCAAAGCACUUUAAGUUGGGAGGAAGGGCUUUAGGUUAAUACCCUGAAGUUUUGACGUUACCAACAGAAUAAGCACCGGACAACUCUGUGCCAGCCGCCGCGGUAAUAAAGAGGGUGCAAGCGUUAAUCGGAAUUACUGUGCGUAAAGCGGGCGUAGGUGGUUCAAUAAGAUGGGUGUGAAAUCCCCGGGCUUAACCUGGGAACUGCUUUCAUAACUGCUGAGCUAGAGUACGGUAGAGGGUAGUGGAAUUUCCUGUGUAGCGGUGAAAUGCGUAGAUAUAGGAAGGAACACCAGUGGCGAAGGCGACUACCUGGACUGAUACUGACACUGAGGUGCGAAAGCGUGGGGAGCAAACAG
RNAcentral lists this ribosomal RNA (423 nucleotides) under uncultured bacterium. RNAcentral describes it as "partial 16S ribosomal RNA". It matches the Rfam family "Bacterial small subunit ribosomal RNA", at positions 360 to 775 of the family's 1533-position model. The record is from RNAcentral.